AACCUCCGCAAUGUGAGAAAUCGCGACGGGGGGAUCCCAAGUGCCAUUCUUAACGGGAUGGCUUUUCAUUAGUGUAAAGAGCUUUUGGAAUAAGGGCUGGGCAAGACCGGUGCCAGCCGCCGCGGUAACACCGGCAGCUCUAGUGGUAGCAGUUUUUAUUGGGCCUAAAGCGUCCGUAGCCGGUUUAAUAAGUCUCUGGUGAAAUCCCGUAGCUUAACUGUGGGAAUUGCUGGAGAUACUAUUAGACUUGAGACCGGGAGAGGUUAGAGGUACUCCCAGGGUAGAGGUGAAAUUCUGUAAUCCUGGGAGGACCGCCUGUUGCGAAGGCGUCUAACUGGAACGGUUCUGACGGUGAGGGACGAAAGUUAGGGGCGCGAACCGGAUUAGAUACCCGGGUAGUCCUAACUGUAAACGAUGCGGACUUGGUGUUGGGGUGGCUUUGAGCUGCUCCAGUGCCGAAGGGAAGCUGUUAAGUCCGCCGCCUGGGAAGUACGGUCGCAAGACUGAAACUUAAGGAAUU
This 520-nucleotide ribosomal RNA is filed under the name uncultured bacterium. RNAcentral's name for it is "bacterial SSU rRNA". It matches the Rfam family "Archaeal small subunit ribosomal RNA", at positions 345 to 866 of the family's 1478-position model. The record is from RNAcentral.